UAGAAUUUAAAUUAUUGGAAUUUUUUUAGAUUAUGACCUUUUUGUAUUACGGUUUUUAGGAAGCUAGAAAAAAAUUCUUAUCUCAAAAAAAAAAGAUUUAGGUUUAAUUAAAAUUUAAGUUUUAUUCUAUUUAAUUAAUAAAUGUUUUAGAAUGAGUUAAAAUUUGACUUAGAAGAGAAAUUUUUUCGAUUUUUUUUAUUUAGUUAUGAAAGUGAAUUAAAAAGUAAAAGCUUUUUAAAAAAAUUUUGUGAAAAAUUUAAAGUAGUUUAAUUUUAUAAAAUUUCAUAUUGAUUUAUUUUUUUUAAUAAAAAAUAUAAUUCUUAAACGGGAAAGAUUUCAAAAUUUCCUAAGUACUUAUUUAUUCUCGAAAGGAAAUUAAAGAAUGAGUAUAUAAAAAUAUAAUAAAGAAUUAAAUUGGCUUUCCGACUGUUUAUUAAAAACAUUUCCUUUUUUUUAAAAGGUAUUCUCUGCUCAAUGAAUGAAGUUUGUUUAAAUUGCUGCAGUAUAUUGACUGUGCAAAGGUAGCAUAAUUAUUUGUCUGUUAAAUGUAGAAUUGUUUGAAAGAGAAAUACGAGAUAGAAUUUUUUUUAUUAGUUAUAAGUUUAUUUGGGAAAUUAUAUAAGUAGUGAAGAUACUGCUAAAGAAAAAAUUAAGACGAAAAGACCCUAAAGAGUUUUUUAUUUUAUGUUUGGAAUAAAACAAAAAAUUUUUAAUGGGGAAUUAGGAAAUAAAUUGUUUUUAAAGAGUUAUCAAGAAAACUUCCUUAGGGAUAACAGGGCAAUAAAACUUAAGAGUUCUUAUCAAAAGUUUUGUUUACUACCUCGAUGUUGAAUCAUAAUUAAAUUUAGGUGAAGGUGUUUAAAAUUUUAGUCUGUUCGACUAUUAAAAUUAUUCGUGAUUUGAGUUUAGACCGAUGUAAAUCAGGUUGGUUUUUAUCUAAUAAUAAAAGUGUUGUACGAAAGGACUCAUCUUUUUUUU
Molecule: ribosomal RNA, 978 nt
Filed under: Diversibipalium multilineatum
Lineage: Eukaryota; Metazoa; Platyhelminthes; Tricladida; Geoplanidae
Description: 16S ribosomal RNA
Rfam family: Archaeal large subunit ribosomal RNA (bases 649-941)
Source: RNAcentral